CGCGACCCCAGGUCAGGCGGGACUACCCGCUGAGUUUAAGCAUAUCAAU
This 49-nucleotide ribosomal RNA is filed under the name Eclipta prostrata. Its description in RNAcentral is "partial 26S ribosomal RNA". Lineage: Eukaryota; Viridiplantae; Streptophyta; Magnoliopsida; Asterales; Asteraceae. The record is from RNAcentral.